RNAcentral lists this ribosomal RNA (517 nucleotides) under uncultured bacterium. RNAcentral's name for it is "bacterial SSU rRNA". It matches the Rfam family "Bacterial small subunit ribosomal RNA", at positions 30 to 526 of the family's 1533-position model. The record is from RNAcentral.
AUUGAACGCUGGCGGCGUGCCUAACACAUGCAAGUCGAGCGUGAAAGUUCCUUCGGGGACGAGUAAAGCGGCGCACGGGUGAGUAACACGUGGAUAAUCUACCUACAGAUUUGGGAUAACGCUUGGAAACGGGCGCUAAUACCGAAUACGCUCUGGACAUAACGUUUAGGGGAAAGGUGGCCUCUAUUUAUAAGCUAUCGUCUGUGGAUGAGUCCGCGUCUCAUUAGGUAGUUGGUAAGGUAAUGGCUUACCAAGCCUGUGAUGAGUAGCCGGCCUGAGAGGGUGACCGGCCACACUGGGACUGGAACACGGCCCAGACUCCUACGGGAGGCAGCAGUGGGGAAUAUUGCGCAAUGAACGAAAGUUUGACGCAGCGACGCCGCGUGAGGGACGAAGGCCUUCGGGUCGUAAACCUCUGUCAAGAGGGAAGAACGUGCCGUACUCUAACAUAGUGCGGUAUUGACGGUACCUCUGAAGGAAGCACCGGCUAACUCUGUGCCAGCAGCCGCAGUAACAC